This 816-nucleotide ribosomal RNA is filed under the name uncultured Fusobacterium sp. RNAcentral's name for it is "bacterial SSU rRNA". It matches the Rfam family "Bacterial small subunit ribosomal RNA", at positions 49 to 883 of the family's 1533-position model. Lineage: Bacteria; Fusobacteriati; Fusobacteriota; Fusobacteriia; Fusobacteriales; Fusobacteriaceae. The record is from RNAcentral.
UAACACAUGCAAGUCAACUUGAAUUUGGGUUUUAACUUAAGUUUGGGUGGCGGACGGGUGAGUAACGCGUAAAGAACUUGCCUCACAGCUAGGGACAACAUUUGGAAACGAAUGCUAAUACCUAAUAUUAUGAUAAUAGGGCAUCCUAUAAUUAUGAAAGCUAUAAGCGCUGUGAGAGAGCUUUGCGUCCCAUUAGCUAGUUGGAGAGGUAACUGCUCACCAAGGCGAUGAUGGUUAGCCGGCCUGAGAGGGUGAUCGGCCACAAGGGGACUGAGACACGGCCCUUACUCCUACGGGAGGCAGCAGUGGGGAAUAUUGGACAAUGGACCAAGAGUCUGAUCCAGCAAUUCUGUGUGCACGAUGAAGUUUUUCGGAAUGUAAAGUGCUUUCAGUUGGGAAGAAAGAAAUGACGGUACCAACAGAAGAAGUGACGGCUAAAUACGUACCAGCAGCCGCGGUAAUACGUAUGUCACGAGCGUUAUCCGGAUUUAUUGGGCGUAAAGCGCGUCUAGGUGGUUAUGUAAGUCUGAUGUGAAAAUGCAGGGCUCAACUCUGUAUUGCGUUGGAAACUGUAUAACUAGAGUACUGGAGAGGUAAGCGGAACUACAAGUGUAGAGGUGAAAUUCGUAGAUAUUUGUAGGAAUGCCGAUGGGGAAGCCAGCUUACUGGACAGAUACUGACGCUGAAGCGCGAAAGCGUGGGUAGCAAACAGGAUUAGAUACCCUGGUAGUCCACGCCGUAAACGAUGAUUACUAGGUGUUGGGGGUCGAACCUCAGCGCCCAAGCAAACGCGAUAAGUAAUCCGCCUGGGAGUAC